This 968-nucleotide long non-coding RNA is filed under the name Marmota monax (woodchuck). Lineage: Eukaryota; Metazoa; Chordata; Mammalia; Rodentia; Sciuridae. The record is from RNAcentral.
GUAAAUUGUUUCUAAAACUUCAUUCCUAUCAAAUUGGAUUAAAAUGUUUAAGAGAUUUGAUUUGCUAACUUAACAGCAUUAAUGUAUCUAGCUUAAGGUCUGUAUGAGUUUGCUAGGUUUGGAUAACAAUACUGCACAAACUAUGUGGCUUAGAAAGAAGUUCAUUGGGGCUGGGGUUGUAGCUCAGUGCUUGCCUCACACACAUGAGGCUCUGGGUUUGAUCCUCAGCACUACAUAAAAAAUAAAUACAUAAAGUAAAGGUCAGUUUACAACUAAAAAAUUAAAAUUUAAAAAAAAAAUCAUUGCUCCAUGGUUCUGGAGGCUGGAGGUUUGGGAACAAGGCAUUGGCAGGGUUGGUUCCUUCUGAGGCCUGUGAGGAAGAAUCUGUUUCUGGCCUGCUCCCUGGCUUCUGCUGGAUUACUGGCAAUUUUUGGCUUUCCUUGGUUCACCCUGAUCUCUGCCUUCGUGUUCACAUGACAUUCUCCCUGUGUGCCUCUGUUAGUCUGAACAUCCCCCUUUUUAAGGACACUAGUCAUAUUGGAUUAGGGCCCAACCUGAUGACCUCAUCUUAAUUAAUUACAUGUGUAAGGGCCUGGUUUCCAAGUAAAGUCACAUUUUGAAGUACUAGGGGUUAGGACUUCACCAUAAGAAUUUUGGAAGGACGCAGUGCAACACAGCAAGGCCAAUAUCUGCUUCUCUUUUACCUCUUCUUUCCUUUGAACUUUUUCUUCUUUUUGGUACUAGAGAUUGAACCCAGGGCCAGUUUACCCUACAUCAUCCCCAGUUCUUUUAACUUAUUUUGAGAUAGGGUCCCGCUAAGUUGCUGAGGCUGGGCUUAAACUUGAGAUCCUCCCUGUUCGGCCUUCUGAGUUACUGGGAUUAUACAUGUGUACCACCAUGCCUAGCUAAACUUUUUAUUUUUUAGUUGUGAACUUUAACUCUGUGGAGUUAACACCACCCUUUGUACU